This 1508-nucleotide ribosomal RNA is filed under the name gut metagenome. Its description in RNAcentral is "bacterial SSU rRNA". It matches the Rfam family "Bacterial small subunit ribosomal RNA". The record is from RNAcentral.
AGAGUUUGAUCCUGGCUCAGGAUGAACGCUAGCUACAGGCUUAACACAUGCAAGUCGAGGGGCAGCAUGGUCUUAGCUUGCUAAGGCCGAUGGCGACCGGCGCACGGGUGAGUAACACGUAUCCAACCUGCCGUCUACUCUUGGACAGCCUUCUGAAAGGAAGAUUAAUACAAGAUGGCAUCAUGAGUCCGCAUGUUCACAUGAUUAAAGGUAUUCCGGUAGACGAUGGGGAUGCGUUCCAUUAGAUAGUAGGCGGGGUAACGGCCCACCUAGUCUUCGAUGGAUAGGGGUUCUGAGAGGAAGGUCCCCCACAUUGGAACUGAGACACGGUCCAAACUCCUACGGGAGGCAGCAGUGAGGAAUAUUGGUCAAUGGGCGAGAGCCUGAACCAGCCAAGUAGCGUGAAGGAUGACUGCCCUAUGGGUUGUAAACUUCUUUUAUAAAGGAAUAAAGUCGGGUAUGGAUACCCGUUUGCAUGUACUUUAUGAAUAAGGAUCGGCUAACUCCGUGCCAGCAGCCGCGGUAAUACGGAGGAUCCGAGCGUUAUCCGGAUUUAUUGGGUUUAAAGGGAGCGUAGAUGGAUGUUUAAGUCAGUUGUGAAAGUUUGCGGCUCAACCGUAAAAUUGCAGUUGAUACUGGAUAUCUUGAGUGCAGUUGAGGCAGGCGGAAUUCGUGGUGUAGCGGUGAAAUGCUUAGAUAUCACGAAGAACUCCGAUUGCGAAGGCAGCCUGCUAAGCUGCAACUGACAUUGAGGCUCGAAAGUGUGGGUAUCAAACAGGAUUAGAUACCCUGGUAGUCCACACGGUAAACGAUGAAUACUCGCUGUUUGCGAUAUACUGCAAGCGGCCAAGCGAAAGCGUUAAGUAUUCCACCUGGGGAGUACGCCGGCAACGGUGAAACUCAAAGGAAUUGACGGGGGCCCGCACAAGCGGAGGAACAUGUGGUUUAAUUCGAUGAUACGCGAGGAACCUUACCCGGGCUUAAAUUGCAGAUGAAUUACGGUGAAAGCCGUAAGCCGCAAGGCAUCUGUGAAGGUGCUGCAUGGUUGUCGUCAGCUCGUGCCGUGAGGUGUCGGCUUAAGUGCCAUAACGAGCGCAACCCUUGUUGUCAGUUACUAACAGGUUCUGCUGAGGACUCUGACAAGACUGCCAUCGUAAGAUGUGAGGAAGGUGGGGAUGACGUCAAAUCAGCACGGCCCUUACGUCCGGGGCUACACACGUGUUACAAUGGGGGGUACAGAGGGCCGCUACCACGCGAGUGGAUGCCAAUCCCAAAAACCUCUCUCAGUUCGGACUGGAGUCUGCAACCCGACUCCACGAAGCUGGAUUCGCUAGUAAUCGCGCAUCAGCCACGGCGCGGUGAAUACGUUCCCGGGCCUUGUACACACCGCCCGUCAAGCCAUGGGAGCCGGGGGUACCUGAAGUGCGUAACCGCGAGGAGCGCCCUAGGGUAAAACUGGUGACUGGGGCUAAGUCGUAACAAGGUAGCCGUACCGGAAGGUGCGGCUG